UACGGAGGAUGCGAGCGUUAUCCGGAUUUAUUGGGUUUAAAGGGUGCGCAGGCGGGCCUUUAAGUCAGCGGUGAAAUCCCGACGCUUAACGUCGGAACUGCCGUUGAAACGGGAAGCCUUGAGUAUAGAUGAAGUAGGCGGAAUUCGUUGUGUAGCGGUGACAUGCUUUGAUAUAACGAGGAACUCCGAUUGCGUAGGCAGCUUACUAAACUAUAACUGACGCUCAAGCACGAAAGCGUGGGGAUCAAACAGG
Molecule: ribosomal RNA, 253 nt
Filed under: uncultured bacterium
Lineage: Bacteria
Description: partial 16S ribosomal RNA
Rfam family: Bacterial small subunit ribosomal RNA
Source: RNAcentral